RNAcentral lists this unclassified non-coding RNA (144 nucleotides) under uncultured fungus. Its description in RNAcentral is "sequence contains ITS1, 5.8S rRNA gene". The record is from RNAcentral. Lineage: Eukaryota; Fungi.
CCGAGCGAGGGCCUCCGCGUCCGACCUCCAACCCCCAUGUUAUCCGACCCCGUUGCCUCGGGGGCGACCCGGCCCUGUGCCGGGGCCCCCGGUGGACCCCCCAACCCUGCAUCUAGCCGUCUGAGCUCAGAUACGAAUCAAUCA